GACCGACUAGCAUUUCACGUAGAUUGUUCUGCAUGAAGGAUUAUUUUAUCACCUUAAAUGAUGAGCUAUGGGUUUCUCCGUAGUUAAUUGUAUUUGUUUUAUAAUUGAGCUGUUCGUAUUGAAAGGGUACAAAGCAUCGCCGACAUUUACUGUGGAUGUAAAUGAUGUCUUCGUAAACAGUAGCAUAACGUUAACAUGUUCCACGUCAUUCCCGCCGGAAGCUGUUGCUUGGUUCAUGAGAGACGAAGGAUCAGAAGAAGAGAAAAAAGGUCAUUGCUCAAUGGUUAGAUGCUGAUCAUCUGUGUCGUACUGACACCAAUGCUAUGGAGUGUUCAUGUUUGUCAGAACACGUCUACUCGUGUUCUAUAAAGUCGGUGCUGCAAAGCUUUCGAUGGAAUUGGCUAUAGUAUAAUUAAAAGCUACACAAUCAGAUUAAUAUUUCCACUUACUUCCUUAACCAUUCUACCAGAGACGUCAGUUGCUUACCCAGUUUUCAAUGUCGUAUCUACCUUUACAUGCAUCACUUCAUUAAGCCGGCCUGUGGCUAGUAUUCAAUGGUUCAACGACAACAUAAACAUAGCACACCUUGCUAAUUAUUCGCACAUUGAUGACGUCGCUAGAAGUGAUUUACAAUUUAUACCAAACGCUAACGGGUACAUAGGUGGACGUAUAUCCUGCGUUGCAAGUUGUGAGUUUAAAUCCAUUAGUAACGUUCUAUCAGCUAAUAUGAGCAUUCGAGUACAGUACCCCGUUUCUAACCCAAUAGUGACUAUCAACAAUCUAAGUAUAUCAACUGAUUUUGCAAUACGAGAGGAUAGACUCGUUCAUUUGAAUUGUUUCUCCACCGGAUAUCCACAACCUUCGUAUAAUUGGACUUACUCGGGCGGACGAUCGACCGGUGCUUUUCUGAUUUGUACAUUCACUCGCAAUAACGGUAGCGUGUCAUGUAAGGCGUAUAAUGUUAUGCGCACAUUUGACGGUAAAAAUAGUGCAGAG
This is a long non-coding RNA of Dreissena polymorpha, 996 nucleotides long. RefSeq lists it as uncharacterized. The transcript is spliced from 4 exons. Lineage: Eukaryota; Metazoa; Mollusca; Bivalvia; Myida; Dreissenidae. The record is from RefSeq and is a predicted model, not a curated record.